Molecule: long non-coding RNA, 636 nt
Organism: Daktulosphaira vitifoliae (grape phylloxera)
Lineage: Eukaryota; Metazoa; Arthropoda; Insecta; Hemiptera; Phylloxeridae
Exons: 2
Source: RefSeq, a predicted model, not a curated record
UUUCUUUUGUAAUUAAAUCUUAAUUUUAGCCCUUAUCCCACCAAAUGUUCCGGCAAAUGAUUGUCAAUUAGAGAAUAUUAGAACUAAAAUAUAAGAAAUAAGUGUAUUAGUACCAACAUUCAAAAGAAACGUGUCAAAAUUUCAUGACAUUUGAACAACGCAUUCCAAGGUUACAAUCAUUGAAGUGAAGCUACUUUAGUUAUUUUGUAAACAAUGGAUAAAAACGAAUUUCGUAUGUUGAUUAAACACUGCUAUUUGAUGGGAAAAAAUACUGUGAAAACUCAAGAAUGGCUUGAAAAGUAUUAUAAGGACUCUGUUCCAAAGAAAACAACUAUUUAUCGCUGAUUUUUUUAAUUUAAACGCGGUCGUACAGACACAUUUGAAUGCUCAAGACGCCUAAGUGAAGCAGUUACGAUAGAAAACAUAAAAAAAAUCCAAAAAAUUAUGUUGGAAAAUCAUAAAGUAAAUAGCUGACAUUAUAAAAAUCUCAAUUGACCGUUUGCAUCAUAUUUAUUUUAAACAUUUAAGUAUAAGAAAGCUAUGCUCAAAAUGGGUACCGUAUUUGCUAACAGUGGACCGAAAAAAAAAACAAUGUGCCGAUGAUUCACAGAGCUGUUUUGAACUAUUUAAGAAGAA